CGAGCGUUGCUCGUGGCUUCGAGCUGCAGGGCGACGGGCUGACGAGCGGCGACGGCAGGAACGAUGACGCGGCGUCGGGUGCUGGGUCACGAGCGGAACUCGGACGCGGGCGUCGGGCACUGGUGUCGGGCGGUCAGAGGCACAGCAACGGCGGCGAGCGGGCAGAGGUGCGGAGGCGCGGGUUGCAGGCGUGACGAGCUACUGGUACGGUGGCGAGCAGGCUGAGGUGCAGCUGUGGAGUUGCAGAUGUCGCUGGUGGCAGGCAGAGGCCGGCACGGCGACCAGCGGCCGCGGGCAGAGCAGGAGCAGCGUCAGGUGAUCACGGGUCGGUGCGGGCUACAGGCGAGGCGGGACGCGACGGUGGCUGGUGGCACGGCGACCGGCUCGUCGGCGCUCGGGCGGAGGGGCAGGUUUCAGCAGCAGCCAGCGGACUUCAGGGGGGUGCGGAGGCCGGCUCGGGUGGAGGUGCUGUUUGCAGAAGCAGCGGUGGCGGGCGGUGAUGGUGGCCCGCUCGGGGCUCACUGGAAGGAGAUACUGGCGUCGGUCAGAGGUGCAGCAACGAGGACGGUGGCGCGCGAGGGCAGAGGCGCGGCGGCGGGCUCGGAGCUCGCCGGAAGGAGGAAAGCGGCGGGUGGGCGGCUGCAGCGCCGGGCGACCAGCAGCAGCAAGGAACUCCCGAAGAAGAUGAGCAGUAGGGGUCUUUUCCUCUCUUUUUUUUUUGCUGUUCGGUCACUUCUUUUCUGUCUCUCUCUCACGUCUCACUCUCUGCAGUCUCUCUUUCUGCUUUUUGAACGAAGGAGAAGCUCCCCUCCCAAUGAAAUUUUUUCCUUUUUUCCCUUUGUCUGACCGAAGGAGAAGCCCCUCACAAUGGAAUUUUUUUCUCUUUUCCCCUCCAUCGACGCGGCUUCUUGUGGUCUUAUUUAUAGGCCGUCCAUUGCCUCUUGAAGAUAGCCAACAUUAUUGUGACAAGAUGUAGCGCAACUUUUCCAGAAUUUAAGGGUGCGCAUGGAAACACUUCUGUUUCUUUUUUGUUCCUGGGAACAGAAAUAAAAAAAAGUGUUUCUGUUCCGAGGAACAAUUUCUGAACAAAAGAACGCGUUUGGUAAGUGUAAAAAAAAACUGCUCUUGGAAUAAAAAAAGAAUAGAAACAUGUUUGGUAACUGCAGUCAAUUUCUGUUCCUAGAAUAGAAAAAGAACAGAAACACGUUUGGUAAACGACAAAAAAAUUUCUGUUUUAUUUUUUAUUUUUUAUUUUUAAAAUUUUUUUUAAUAAAGUUUAAAAUUGAUAUUGAAUUCUAAUUCUUAUGAAAUGCUCAUUAAUUUUAUUUUGUUCAUGGUUAGUGAAGACAAACAUUUUUAGCAUGAUCAUAUAGCAUAUUUCGUAGAAAAUGUUUUGUAUCAAAUUUUUUUCAACAUGCUCAUAUGUGCGCCCUUAAACGAAAAUUUCAUACAUCUCAACAUGAACUAGUUACUUUUUUUUAUUUUUCUAGGCAACGCAGCCAAUCGAAUAAUUGUUCUUUUUUGCUUUUACUCAAGUAAAAAUAUUCGCUGCCAACUAGUUUUCUGAAAUUUCAUUUGUUUAGUUGGCUAAAAAUGAUUAUGGUCAAAGAUACAUGUAUACUCAAAGUUAAAAAAAUAAAUUUUCUAACUUGAAAAUGGACAUUUUCUUGGAAAAUUAUUUCGAAAAAAAUUAUUUUCUUUAAUCAUGAAAUUGUUCUUGAAACAUACGCCGCCUUGAGUUGCUUCGAGAGAUGCGCAAUGUGGCUGUUGCGACAGCAAUUAGCAACAAUAUGGAAUUAUUCACUUGUGCAAUUCAUUGUAAUCUGGAAAGUAAUGCCAGAACAAGGGUCAGGCGUUCAGGUUAGGGAAAGAAUGGCAGAUCCCUCCAAUGAAAUGUCGUUCACUGGCCAUGUGCGAAGACCUUGCUUCCCAAAAUUAUGCUGGGGCAGCUGAUGCGGACUGCUAUCUGAAAAGCUUUCAGGAAGUAGAGCCACUUUAUAGAGACGCCAGAGGAAGUGCUCUGUCUCUCCAAUCCUUGCCUGUCUGUCGGUCCAAGCUAUUCACAAGAUGUGUGGCCUGGUCCCUCAUCCGGGACUCAGAUAUGGAAUCGUUGCGUUAUUUUUAAAAUUUUUUUUAAUAAAGUUUAAAAUUGAUAUUGAAUUCUAAUUCUUAUGAAAUGCUCAUUAAUUUUAUUUUGAUAUACUAACUUGCACCAACUUUUACUAAAGAUCAGGAAUCUUAAAGAUCUAGAAUACGGAUGAACUGUGCUCUAAGACUGCAAACUCAAUGAAGUUCACUGCUUGCAAUCAAAAUAAUCGAACCUUUACAAUUUUUUAUUUUCAUAACAUGCUUGUUUUCUACAUAAUUAUUUCAACCUUAAAGGGAAUACAGAACAGAAAGCAGUCCAGUACAUGAAAAAUUCAACUGCCUGCUCUUUCAACACUAAGAGAGGAAACACUACAGAACCUAUUUACAGCAAUUCAAAAGGUAAAUUUUGCCUAAAGACUUUUCACAGCCAAAACUUUCCCCACCCUCCUUUUACAGUUUUGAGAUAUUCCUACAGCGUCAAGAAGUUAAUACUUCUUCAGCGUGUUCCUCAGCCGAAUGAAGCACCAAGUUUUAGCCAGGGUCCUGUACUUCCUCCAGCCGCCAAAGUAUCUUCCUAUCACUUUUUUGUAGGAAGGCCUUUGCUGAACCAAACUCCAGUAUUUGGCCAUGUUUGGCCUGCUGUUUAUAUACUCGUCUUCCAAAUUCAAGAGUGCCAAACGAGCUAGCACCGGAAUGAACAUUACGUCUGCCAUGCUGAACUCUUCCCCUGCAAUAUAAGCCGUCUUGCUCAACCUGUCUGCCAUGCUGAACUCUUCCCCUGCAAUAUAAGUCUUGCUCAAACUGUCCUCAAUUUCAUCGAGAAGUCUGAUUAGAUGUUCCUUGCUCCGCCUUACAACCUCUGGGUCUCUCAGCUUCUCUUCGGUGUGAUAUGCCUCUUUUAGCUUGCGGUGGUAGGAACUUGCCAGGUCAGGUGACUCGGCCAUCCGAGCAAUCAAGACUCUCCUAAAAAACUUGGACACUGCUUGCCGAUACUUCUCAGGGACGUGGGAUAAUGUGAAAAACUUUGGAUUCCACUCCUGUAUUUUAUGCAUCCAUUGAAUGACCUCAUCACUGCUGAAGGCGAUGCUAUCAUUAUUAACAGAGACAACUGCAAUUCUCUCUAUAUACCUGUAAAUUUCUAAAGCAUUAUAAACUUCCACAAAAGAAGAGAAUCAAGACAGACAGACAGAAUAAAUCUGCAAAGAAUAUGGUACAUAAAGAAUAUGGUACAUAAUAGAGCAGUUAGCAUGAUUCAAAAGUACAACUUUUCUACCAAUAUUAACACACGUCACUCGUUUGAGAUUACAAGUUUGACAACCAUCACCCCUCUCAGAUAAGACUAAGGUUUUGCUAAUCUAAAAGGUCCACUCUAUACUGUGAUGAAACAUAGUCAAAAUCAAAAGAGAAACUAGAGGCUUCAAAAAACUUCUUGGCAUCCCCAACGAAUUAAUACACAAGCAUUGAAGAACAUUUAUUGACAUACCCAUUUUGAGUAAAAGAAGAAUCUCUAGCAUAUCUUAGUCUGUGGCCAUCAGCAAUUACCUCCCCAAGGAAACAAACCAGACAGCAGUUCAGACAAACGUCAACAGUGAAACCCAUUCAACAAUCCUCCUUUCAGCACCCAAUCUCCAAUAUAGUCACUUAGUCAGGUUAGGCCUCACACGAUGUACGGUUCCACAAAAACCCAAAAAAAGCGCUGAACUGAGACGCCUAAAAGCUCCAAAACCAAAAGGUUCAUUUUCCAGCAGGAAAGCAUUUAAAUUUUGCAGACAGUAAGAUUAGAAUAAAGGAAGUAUUCCCGAUUCAGUUAACAAAUACACACAACGAACUCACACCAACUCUUGUCGUGCUUAGAACAGUAUUGACGGUUCAAGAAAGGGGCAAAACGGGUCCCGCCACUUCUAAUUUGGCCAUCAAUACAGCAAGGAAUUCCAACGAAGAACUUCACGAGGCGAUCAAGAACGGUCUAGACCACACGGUCGAAAGAGGUUCGACUGACCGGAUGACAUGCAGAACCAGAACCGCCACGCCCCCCACUCCAACACUCCAACCCCAACUCAAGACCCGCUGAAGUCAACGCGCGCAAGCACGAUCAAGUUCACAACAAGAGCCCGCAGCGCAGCGAGCAAAUUGACCAGGGAAUCAAACUAAAACGGAAACAGCACGCAGCAACGACGAGAGAACCAAACGAAGAAGGACGGCCAAGUGUCGAGCGCGAUCGAGACAGAUGGGGUGGUCGGACGGAACCUUACCCAGAAAGCGUCGACACUUCUAGAGAUAACUUCGACUUUUGCUUCCCACAACAGACAACAGAAAACUACAAGAACCAAGACGAAUACUAGUAAACUCCAGGAGUUGUUAUAAGGACAACACUUUUAAGCCUUCGUUACCGUUCAAAGUCACCUGUUACAGCACAACCCACCUAAAUUUUUCAAUGGACAAUCUUCUGCAGGCACGCGAGGUUUUGCUACACGAACCAAGAUGAAGAAUUCCAUCACUUACCGAGAGGGUAUCCACCCAGAGCUGAGAGACGAACCCCAAGCCAAGAGCAGAUUCGAUGCUGAUCACUUGCUUCGCCACCAUGCUCGAUCGCCUCAUCACCUGUCGCCCACCCCUCGCCCUCAAUUUACUCUCCGAUUCCUCUUCGCUCCUCAACGCGACGCCGGCAUCGCCGCCGUCGCCGCUUAGGAGCACCUCCUCCUCUUCCACACCGGACCGCGCCGGCUUUUCGGCGCCCAAGUUUCCGCCUUCCGCCGCAUCACUCCCGCCGCUCCCACUUCCCUCCCUCGAUCCCGCGCCGCCGCCUCGGUCCGUCUCCGAGCUGCGCCGCCGCAUCACUGGAGCUGCUGCUCGAGCGAAGGGGGAGCUCGAGCCGGAGAAGGAGCGCCGAAGGGGGAGCAACGCUGACCGGAGGAGGAGCGCCGAAGGGGGAGCAACGCUUACCGGAGAAGGAGGAGCACCGGAAACGUACCUGGAGUCGCCGGAGUGAGGAGUCGCCGGAGAGUCAGCCGAGUGGGAGCCGCCGGAGAGAUGGGAGAGACGCCGGAAAAGGAAGAACGAAGCUUCAGCCGACGAGAGGAGCGACGAGCACGCACGAAGGAGAAGAGUUCGUCGCCUUUGUUCCGAUUUUGUUCUUUUGUUUCUUUGGUUUUUGUUCUUUUG
This 5250-nucleotide long non-coding RNA is filed under the name Eucalyptus grandis. RNAcentral describes it as "long non-coding RNA (EGRA_LNC000268)". The record is from RNAcentral. Lineage: Eukaryota; Viridiplantae; Streptophyta; Magnoliopsida; Myrtales; Myrtaceae.